RNAcentral lists this long non-coding RNA (624 nucleotides) under Equus caballus (horse). RNAcentral describes it as "lncRNA (ENSECAG00000049562.1)". The record is from RNAcentral. Lineage: Eukaryota; Metazoa; Chordata; Mammalia; Perissodactyla; Equidae.
AGCCCAAUGGGUUGGUGACACUACUGCAGCUCUUGGAGGAUCCCCACCCAGCCACCUGCCCCAGCCAGGAGCAUGGCUUUGGGAGGAAGAAGGCAGGCAGCAGAGAGAUCCAGAACGGAGGGCUUCGUGGGCCCCUCCCUAGAUUGCAAUUAAGACGUGUGAAUAAAGUCCCGUCCCAUCCGGGAGUUAGAGAUAAUCUAAUCAACCGAGAAGGCGAGGUCUGCCCGCUCCCUCAGGAGUAUAAAAGGAGCUGAGAGAGGCAUGGGCGACCCACUUCGGGAGCUGAGAGCGAAGUCACCAAGUGUGGGACUUUGAGACAGUGGAACCUACCCCAGGAGCCGACGGCGGGAGAGGGUGAGUGGACCACAGCGACCACAUCAACCGGCGUGUUGAAGGGAUCAAACGCCCAGCUCCUCAGGCCUUAGGAACUGUGAACAGUGGUUCUCUCUGAGGAGUGGGAUCUGGGGUGCAGGUGUGGGUGAGGGGUUUGUUUUUAAACAUACUCAUAGUGUUCGAUUUUUAGAACUGCGCGCAUUUCUUUUUCUAUUAAACAAAGUUCCAGUUUGUUAAGAAGUAAUCUGGAUCCUGCAUCUCCAGAUUACACGUGACCAUAUUUUACAGCCC